Molecule: ribosomal RNA, 791 nt
Filed under: Pyrenophora tritici-repentis
Lineage: Eukaryota; Fungi; Ascomycota; Dothideomycetes; Pleosporales; Pleosporaceae
Description: eukaryotic LSU rRNA
Rfam family: Eukaryotic large subunit ribosomal RNA
Source: RNAcentral
GAGUCCGAGUUGUAAUUUGCAGAGGGCGCUUUGGCUUUGGCAGCGGUCCAAGUUCCUUGGAACAGGACGUCACAGAGGGUGAGAAUCCCGUACGUGGUCGCUAGCUAUUGCCGUGUAAAGCCCCUUCGACGAGUCGAGUUGUUUGGGAAUGCAGCUCUAAAUGGGAGGUAAAUUUCUUCUAAAGCUAAAUACUGGCCAGAGACCGAUAGCGCACAAGUAGAGUGAUCGAAAGAUGAAAAGCACUUUGGAAAGAGAGUCAAACAGCACGUGAAAUUGUUGAAAGGGAAGCGCUUGCAGCCAGACUUGCUUGCAGUUGCUCACCCGGGCCUCUGUGCCCGGUGCAUUCUUCUGCAGGCAGGCCAGCAUCAGUUUGGGCGGUGGGAUAAAGGUCUCUGUCACGUACCUCUCUUCGGGGAGGCCUUAUAGGGGAGACGACAUACCACCAGCCUGGACUGAGGUCCGCGCAUUUAUGCUAGGAUGCUGGCGUAAUGGCUGUAAGCGGCCCGUCUUGAAACACGGACCAAGGAGUCUAACAUCUAUGCGAGUGUUUGGGUGUCAAGCCCGAACGCGUAAUGAAAGUGAACGGAGGUGGGAACCCGCAAGGGUGCACCAUCGACCGAUCCUGAUGUCUUCGGAAGGAUUUGAGUAAGAGCAUGGCUGUUGGGACCCGAAAGAUGGUGAACUAUGCUUGAAUAGGGUGAAGCCAGAGGAAACUCUGGUGGAGGCUCGCAGCGGUUCUGACGUGCAAAUCGAUCGUCAAAUUUGGGCAUAGGGGCGAAAGACUAAUCGAA